AGUGAACGCUGGCGGCGUGCUUAACACAUGCAAGUCGAACGAGAACGGAAUAUAGCUUGCUAUAUUUGUCAGCUAAGUGGCGCACGGGUGAGUAAUGUAUAGAUAACCUGCCCUUAAGAAAGGAAUAACAGUUGGAAACGACUGCUAAUGCCCUAUAUGCCUUUAAUACAUAAGUAUGCAAGGGAAACGCUUUAGUGCUUAAGGAUGGGUCUGUAUGGUAUCAGCUUGUUGGUGAGGUAAUGGCUCACUAAGGCUAUGACGCCUAACUGGUUUGAGAGGAUGAUCAGUCACACUGGAACUGCGACACGGUCCAGACUCCUACGGGAGGCAGCAGUGGGGAAUAUUGCACAAUGGACGAAAGUCUGAUGCAGCAAUGCCGCGUGGAGGAUGACACAUUUCGGUGCGUAAACUCCUUUUAUAUAGGAAGAUAAUGACGGUACUAUAUGAAUAAGCACCGGCUAACUCCGUGCCAGCCGCCGCGGUAA
Molecule: ribosomal RNA, 485 nt
Filed under: uncultured bacterium
Lineage: Bacteria
Description: partial 16S ribosomal RNA
Rfam family: Bacterial small subunit ribosomal RNA
Source: RNAcentral